This 254-nucleotide ribosomal RNA is filed under the name uncultured bacterium. Its description in RNAcentral is "partial 16S ribosomal RNA". It matches the Rfam family "Bacterial small subunit ribosomal RNA", at positions 524 to 776 of the family's 1533-position model. The record is from RNAcentral.
UACGGGGGGAGCAAGCGUUGUUCGGAUUUACUGGGCGUAAAGGGCGCGUAGGCGGCCACUGCAAGUCAGUUGUGAAAUCUCCGGGCUUAACUCGGAAAGGUCAACUGAUACUGCAGGGCUAGAGUGCAGAAGGGGCAACUGGAAUUCUCGGUGUAGCGGUGAAAUGCGUAGAUAUCGAGAGGAACACCUGCGGCGAAGGCGGGUUGCUGGGCUGACACUGACGCUGAGGCGCGAAAGCUAGGGGAGCGAACGGG